RNAcentral lists this long non-coding RNA (963 nucleotides) under Calidris pugnax (ruff). RNAcentral describes it as "lncRNA (ENSCPUG00000000556.1)". The record is from RNAcentral. Lineage: Eukaryota; Metazoa; Chordata; Aves; Charadriiformes; Scolopacidae.
GUGACAUCACAUGGACGUGCCAUAACACCAGGAUGGAGAGGACACGUCACAGUGACGUCACAAGGGGACACCGUGACAUCACGAUGGAGGGGACGGGUCACGGUGACGUCGCACGAGACACUGUGACAUCACGACGGAGGGGACACGUCAUAGUGACAUCACACGAGGACACCAUGACAUCACAACGGAGAGGACACAUCAUAGUGACGUCACGUGAGACGCCGUGACAUCACGAUGGAGAGGACACGUCACAGUGACAUCACACGGGGACACCGUGACAUCACGACGGAGGGGCACAUGGUGACGUGACAUCACAACGGAGGGGAUGCCCCACAGUGACGUCACANNNNNNNNNNGGGGCUGGGGGUCCCCGUCACUGUCUCCGUGGGGCUGGGGGUCCUCAUCCCCCCCCUCGGUGUCUCUGUGGGGCUGGGGGUCCUCGCUCCCCCCCUCGCUGUCUCCAUGGGACUGGGGGUCCCUCUUGGUGUCUCCGUGGGGCUGGGGGUCCUCGUCCCCCCCUCGCUGUUGUUAUGGGUCUAGGGGUCCUCCUCGGUGUCUCCGUGGGGCUGAGGGUCCCCCUUGCUUUCUCCAUGGGGCUGGGGGUCCCUCUUGGUGUCUCAGUGGGGCUGGGGGUCCUCAUCCUCCUCCUCGCUGUCCCCAUGGGGCUGGGGGUCCCCUUUGCUGUCCCCAUGGGUCUAGGGGUCCUCGUUCCCCCCCUUGCUCUCUCCGUGGGUCUGGGGGUCCUCCUCGCUGUCUCCGUGGGGCUGGGGGUCCUCAUCCCCCCCCUCGCUGUCUCCGUGGGGCUGGGGGUCCCCGUUGCUGUCCCCGUGGGGCUGGGGGUCCUCAUCCUCCCCCUCGCUGUCCCCAUGGGGCUGGGGGUCCCCCUCGGUGUCUCCGUGGGGCUGGGGGUCCUCGUCCCCCCCCUCGGUGUCCCCAUGGGGCUGGGGGUCCUCAUCCCCCCCC